GAUGAACGCUGGCGGCGUGCCUAAUACAUGCAAGUCGAGCGAACGGACGAGAAGCUUGCUUCUCUGAUGUUAGCGGCGGACGGGUGAGUAACACGUGGAUAACCUACCUAUAAGACUGGGAUAACUUCGGGAAACCGGAGCUAAUACCGGAUAAUAUUUUGAACCGCAUGGUUCAAAAGUGAAAGACGGUCUUGCUGUCACUUAUAGAUGGAUCCGCGCUGCAUUAGCUAGUUGGUAAGGUAACGGCUUACCAAGGCAACGAUGCAUAGCCGACCUGAGAGGGUGAUCGGCCACACUGGAACUGAGACACGGUCCAGACUCCUACGGGAGGCAGCAGUAGGGAAUCUUCCGCAAAGGGCGAAAGCCUGACGGAGCAACGCCGCGUGAGUGAUGAAGGUCUUCGGAUCGUAAAACUCUGUUAUUAGGGAAGAACAUACGUGUAAGUAACUGUGCACAUCUUGACGGUACCUAAUCAGAAAGCCACGGCUAACUACGUG
This 497-nucleotide ribosomal RNA is filed under the name uncultured bacterium. RNAcentral describes it as "partial 16S ribosomal RNA". It matches the Rfam family "Bacterial small subunit ribosomal RNA", at positions 28 to 507 of the family's 1533-position model. The record is from RNAcentral.